AUCACCAGCAGCUCCUCUUCACACCACUGAAGGUAGCUAUCGUCGAAUCCAUAGGCAGAGGCGCGGACGACAGUGUGAGCAGAGCCGCGGAUCCCAAGGGGAGGGAAUCGGCAGUAGGAGACGGCAGCCUUGGCGGCGGCAGCCGAGUCAACCAUGGGGAACAUGACGCCCUGGGGGCCGAGGUCGAGCGCUUUCUUCGCCCAGGCGGCGGAGAGAUCCGGGAGGCGGAGGAUGGCGGGAGUGCGGGUGACGGCGAGAGCGCGGAGGCAGGGGAGGGUGUCGGAGAUGCCGCCGGGGCCGUGCUCCAUGUCG
This 312-nucleotide unclassified non-coding RNA is filed under the name Hevea brasiliensis (rubber tree). Lineage: Eukaryota; Viridiplantae; Streptophyta; Magnoliopsida; Malpighiales; Euphorbiaceae. The record is from RNAcentral.